AUAUAUUCACGCUGGUAUUGCUGAAUGUUUCAAGGUCACAAGUAUUUGUACAUUAAUAAAUAUAGUAUAUAUGUUAUUGUUGUUUAUUACAGUUUAUGACAACUGGUGAACAUGUUUUCAGAUUGUGGUAAUAAAGUUUGAUUAUAAACAUUUGAUUUUAUUGUUAUUUGUAAGAUGUAUGAUAGUUAUUAUUUGCCAAGGUUGAGUAAUCCACAUGUUUGGUUGCAGAUAUGAUUGCAUUGAAUGCAUGUGAACUGCCUGUUUUGUUGUCGUGAUUUGAUUGGUUGUGAGUGAAACUGUAGUAUACGUGGUGGGAGAUAUGAAUUUAUAUUGUCACUCUAAUAAUGGAUUUUGGGAGAAUCACACAUAUUCAUUGGUCAUAUCAUUCAUGAAUCGUUCGUAAAUAUAUUUCAACUAAAUGGGUGUUAGACUGUGUGUCUCGUUGGUUUUGACUGUGUGUCGUUAUAAUGGUAAUCUGUGUGAUUAUGAGCAAUAAUUAGUACAUUUACUUGUGACCUGAUUGUGAUUGUGAUUCUGAUUCUGAUUCUGAUAAUGUUAAUGUGCUACGGAUAGUGUUACCUAUAUUGUUAGUCUGGUCGUUAUUGUUCCAGUUAGUUAUUUUAUGGUAAUUAAAAGAUAUACACGAAUGAAUAACUCAUCAACCUUAUCAUCUUAAUCAUCUUUUUAAAUGUGCCGUGGAGAGUCAAAUGGUUGGUGACUGCUGUGUGCGCGUGUACCAUCAAAUCGUCAUCUCAUCAACAUAUAAACGUGAUUAGUGGUCUUUUGAAUCGGUGGAGACGGUGAUAUUAUUAGAGAAUAAUUACAUAAAUAUAUAUAUAUAUAUACAUAUUAUAAUUGUAUUGACUUAUAUUGUAGUUAUAUAAAGAUAUUUAAAUUAUA
Molecule: long non-coding RNA, 900 nt
Organism: Patella vulgata (common limpet)
Lineage: Eukaryota; Metazoa; Mollusca; Gastropoda; Patellidae
Exons: 2
Source: RefSeq, a predicted model, not a curated record